AUCCCACAUGUCUAUGCCCAGAAAACUGCUGAUCUACUUUCUUUUUUUUAUUUUUUUGAGACAGAGUCUCGCUCUGUCGCCCAGGCUGGAGUGCAGUGGCGUGAUCUCAGCUCACUGCAAGCUCUGCCUCCCGGGUUCACGCCAUUCUCCUGCCUCAGCCUCCCGAGUAGCUGGGACUACAGGUGCCUACCACCACACCUGGCUAAUUUUUUGUAUUUUUAGUAGAGACGGGGUUUCACUGUGUUGGCCAGGAUGGUCUCGAUCUCCUGACCUUGUGAUCCGCCCGCCUCGGCCUCCCAAAGUGCUGGGAUGACAGGCGUAAGCCACCGUGCCGGGCUGGAGUCCUAUAGUUAUAUAGAGUGGGAAACAAGGGGCAGGCUACAUUAACCAGGGGCUUUCGGGAAGUUAGGGCCCACGGGCCAAAUCCAGCUGUUCUUGUAUUGGCCUUGAGCUGAGGAUGGUUUUUACAUUUUUAAAAUGAUUUAAAAGACUCAGAGAAAAAAUUUUGUGACAUGUGAAAAUUAUAUGAAAUUCAAAUUUUAGGGUCCAUAAAUAAAGUUUUACUGGAGCACACACACAUCCAUUUGUUUAUCUGUUGUCAAUGGCUCCUUUCAUGCUACAACAACAGAGUUGAGUGGAAAGACUAUAUGCCCCCAAAAGCUGAAAAUAGUUACUACCUGGUUCUAUGCAGAAAAUAUUUGCAGAUCCUUAGCCUAAAAAGAAUUAAGCAAAAAUUCUGAAAUUUUUCAAAAUCAAUCUUAAUAUCCCCAGAGCAUUAUACAUUUCCUAUAGACACACAUGGUAUAUUUUUUCUGUUCAUAUGUGUCUGUAAAAUCCCCUUUUCAUGGAGCUUCUAAGGUGGGGUUAGUGUUUUCUGGAACAUAGUUUAUUUUUAAUUUUUUAUUUUUAAGAUGGAGCCUUGCUCUGUCGCCCAGGUGGGAGUGCGGUGGCACAAUCUUGGCUCACUGCAACCUCCACCUCCCGGGUUCAAGUGCAACCUCAGCCUCCGGAGUAACUGGGAGUACAGGCAUGCACACCAUGUCUGGCUAGUUUUGUAUUUUUAGUAGAGAUGGGGUUUCACCAUGUUGGCCAGGCUGGUCUCGAACCCCUGACCUCAAGUGAUCCACCUGCCCUGACCUCCCAAAGUGCCGGGUUACAGGCGUGAGACACUGCGCCGGACUUCUGGAACAUAUUUUAAAACAAUGCAUGAAGUAAAAUACAAGAUGUAAAAACAAAUUUGCCUUUGAUUGACUAUUCCUACAGGAUUUUAGGAUUGCAAAUCAGAUUUAAUCUAUAUGAUUGAUUGCAAGGUUAUAGGGUGCCCUUGUGGCCCUCAAAACAAUUUCUAACUUCUGCAACCAGUUGUGGACAAAUGUUCCCAGCCCCAGCAGUAGUGGUGGGAGACAGAAACAUCUGAGACAGAUGUUUAGCAUCAGAAACGGAAACAUCUGAGGGUCUGUCACUGUCAAGAUACUUGCUUCACGGUGGGCAGGCUGCAGUUAUUCUUCAGUGUCAAGGGUAAUUUGAAAAGCUCUUUAUUCUUUAAUGCUACACUUAAGUCUAUCUGAAACCUUAAUGACAUGAGGAGCAAAUGGACUCCACAGAAAACUGUUCUUCCCUGUCAAGGGGCUUACUUAGUUAGGUGCCUUAGGGUAAAAAUGCGUUCCUGCUGAAGACUCUGAACUGAAAUAUGAGUUUAGGGCCCAGGAAGAGAGGUGAGUGUGGAUAGAGCAGGGUGUGCUUUUUGAUAUACAAAGUGAAUAGAGACAUGGCUAUUAUGCUGGGGACAUGGGUCAUUAGUCCAAGUGCCAAAGGACAGGAAUGUCUCAGGAAAGGCAUAAGGAAAGUGUACCCUGAUCUAAUAUAUUUCUUUCUGUUCCUCUUUUAAUAAAUAAACCAAACUAACAAAUAUGUAUAAAUCAACACCCAUCAGCUGAAUUAUCACAGAGAGCCAAAACCUACAUCUUGAUGUCUCGCCACACUGUUCAUCAUUUGUAUGAAGCUUCUGCAGGAUGGAUCCUUCUCUUCCUGCAGACCCUGCCUGUUUUCUGGUGGAGGUACACCUUCAAAUUCAACAAAAGUUUAUGAAAACUCACUAUAUUCAACAAAGCCCAAAGAAGAAAAAAAGGAUUUUAUAAACCAAGUGGGACAACUCUCCUUAUCUAUUAAUAAUAAUCAUAUUAACUAACACUUACGGAGGGCUUGCUCUUUGUUGGGCACUAUUUUAAGUGCUUUUCAUAUAAAAUAUACCUUUACACAAACUUUCAGUGACACACGCUGUGCAUACUAUUACUAUCCCCACUUUGAGAUUAUGAAACAGGCUUAGCGGUAACUAUUAAGAUUAGGCUAAAUGUUAGAUCAAGAGUUUGGGUGAUUUAAAAAACAUAUUUUCAUAGCAUAUUUAUUCUCAAAGCAAAGUGUGUAGCUAUUUCAUGUUUUAAUUAAAAACUGGAGACU
RNAcentral lists this long non-coding RNA (2457 nucleotides) under Homo sapiens (human). Its description in RNAcentral is "HSALNT0399576". Lineage: Eukaryota; Metazoa; Chordata; Mammalia; Primates; Hominidae. The record is from RNAcentral.